RNAcentral lists this transfer RNA (69 nucleotides) under Gyrodactylus parvae. RNAcentral's name for it is "tRNA-Val". Lineage: Eukaryota; Metazoa; Platyhelminthes; Monogenea; Gyrodactylidea; Gyrodactylidae. The record is from RNAcentral.
UUUGGUAAAGUUCUUCUGAAUAUAUGUGUUACAAACAUGAGGGUUUAUUUUUUUUUAUAAAUACCAAAA